GUAUAUAUAAUUUAGAUAAAAUAUUAAACUGUGACUUUAAUUAUGAGAGUUAAAACCUCUCUAUAAACCGAG
RNAcentral lists this transfer RNA (72 nucleotides) under Aneides lugubris. RNAcentral describes it as "tRNA-His". It matches the Rfam family "tRNA". From Rfam's summary of the family: Transfer RNA (tRNA) molecules are approximately 80 nucleotides in length. Their secondary structure includes four short double-helical elements and three loops (D, anti-codon, and T loops). Lineage: Eukaryota; Metazoa; Chordata; Amphibia; Caudata; Plethodontidae. The record is from RNAcentral.